Scomber japonicus (chub mackerel) is the source of this 375-nucleotide non-coding RNA. The record is from the annotation of a RefSeq genome assembly. Lineage: Eukaryota; Metazoa; Chordata; Actinopteri; Scombriformes; Scombridae.
AUGACUUUGAUUUCCGUCCUCAUCUGGACUCUCCUCUGCUGCUGCUUCACAGAGUCCAGAGGCCAGAUCACAGUGACUCAGCCUGCAGUAGUGAGAUCUACUCUAGGAGGAUCUGCAACCAUCAGCUGUAGGGUCAGUCAGGAUGUUCUCAAUGGGAACCGCGUAGACUGGUAUAAACAGAGAGAUGGACAACCUCCUAAACUAUACAUUUACAAUGCAGCCACUCGAGCAUCAGGGAUUCCAGAUCGUAUUUCAGGCAGUGGAAGAAACACUGACUUCACUCUGACCAUCAGUGGAGUUCAGGCUGAAGACGCAGCAGUGUAUCACUGUUACAGUUAUCAUUUUAUCAACAGUCAGGAUGUGUUCACACAGUGA